AUUGACUGGUUCCCAGUCGCACACUGGUUUCUGGUUAAUAAAACAUGAACAAACCAAAAUGAAGGAGUUUAUUGUUUCUGUGAUAUCUUUCGUUGCAUCUUUAUUUUUCGUGAUCCUGUUUAUAGCUUUUGGCUGGUUCGUGAUAUGGAAGUUGUUCCUGAGUAAAUUCAAGUUUGUUAAAGAGCUCCUAGGCACGAAUGAAUCAGACACAGACCUCGGGACAGAGCGGCCUAGACGAAGUCGAGUAAAACUGAGAAAGACAGAUUGAAUUGUUAAAUAAAACUGACAUUAGACUAUUGUUUCAUGAGUGCGUGUUAUAUGGGUAACUGGAUGUCAAGCUUUAAAAGGGCCUGGUCGUUAAAAGAGGUCACAUUUUCCAUAAAAUAAGUGAAUCUGCUUGGUUCAAGUGUGUUUAAAUUGGAACUUAUGAAGAGCAUGAUGGAUAAACAUUGUACUUGUUGUGAACAUUAUAAGGGUUUAAAAAGAACAACUCAGGGAUUUUGCUUCUGUGUGCCACGGAGCCUGUGCAUUAUAUUGUAAUUACCCCUUUCAGUGCGGGAACCGAAUUUUGAAGGCCUUUGCAAACAGUUUGGAUCCAGAUGAGACGCCACAGAACGUGGCGUCUCAUCAGGAUCCAAACUGUUUGCUUUUCUGAUAGUAUUCUGUGAAAAAAAUCGAAGAAAAUGCUAAUUUUAGAAAUUCAGCAGACGACAUUUUAGCAGACGACAAAUUUCCCAGCAUGCAAAGGGUUACUUAACUGAGGGAUGUAAAAGACUGUUGUAACUAUUUGCUUUAAAUUUAUUUCAAAAUGUUGUAUACUCAAUAUGUUCGGUUGUAAUGAAAAUGCCAAAUUGUUUUGAAGUUUUGUUCCCUUUGCUUUAAAUAGAUUGCAAGUGAUUAGGAAUAUACAUAUUGUAUACAGGUCUUUUGUUAUUGAGAUAUUAUUUGUUUGAUCAUUAACGUUAUAAUCUAAAGAGUUCUGUUUUAUUCAAUAUUGAUUUCUUAUGACAAAUGUAUAAGUCCUGAUAUGUUUACUUGUCUCUAUUAUUUUAGUAUUGAAAUACAUUUAAGGUUGAUUUCUUAGGAAUGUCUGCAAAAAUACAUAAUUGUAAAUCAUGAUUUGACCACUUUAUCGUACUUUUUAUCAACUGUGAAAACAUUAUAAUAUUCUGAAUAUUAGCAUUUAUUUAUAAUAAUCUAAACAAUCAUGUUUUUUUCUCAGUGCAGUUUGCUGUAAAAUGUUGUGCACUUAGAGUGAGACAUUUAUGCUUUUAAUUUUAAUUCUCAACACCUGUAAAGAUGGUCAAAUUAGGAAUUAGCAAUUAAAAGAGACAAGUUUAUUUACAGUUAAGGUGUAAGGAUCUUAUGUUACCUUCAAGAAGAUUGUGUUUGAUUUUAUGAAAACAGGUUAAAAUAUAGCACUUUCGUUUCUGUUUUAAUUUACUGGUGUAAGGAUGUUCAAAAUAUCAAUGCUUUACAUGAUGAUGAAGAUAUAUGUUUUGCCUUCGUAAGCUUGAGUAGCAACUUUGAGGGUCAUCUAUGGAGUAUUUUGUACAGGCACGAAUUCUAGUCACAAAUCUGAAGCUGAGCUCUUGUGAUCACACUAUGUGCAUGUCUGACUUCUGUCAUCAUGCGGUGUGCCAAUAGCCCAUGUGUAGUUCUGGUCAUCAAAUUUUAAGUUCUAAACACUCGUGACAUUUUUCAUCCAAAAUUGAUUAAACUUGUAAGAAUGUUUAUCUUGACAAAUUCUUAAUGGGGUUUAAAUUUGGGUCACAUGCCUAAAAAAACAAGGUCAGCAGGUCAAAUCGUAACAAAACCCUUAUAUAGGCUUCAUUUAUGACUAUAUCUUGAUGAUACUUUUCAGACAUUUUCUAGACUGGGUUAGAAUCUGGGCCAAGUGCGUUCAAAAACCAGGUCACCGGGUCAAAUCUUAGAAAAACGUUGUGAUCACUCUAAAGGCCACAUUUAGGACCCAAUCUUGAUGAAACUAAGUAAGAAAUGUCAAUCUUGACAAUAUGUAAGCCGAGUUCCAAUUUAGGUCUAAAGCGUCCAAAAACAAGGUAACAAGGUCAAAUAACAACACUUGUUGUCACUAAAUGCAGAAAUUAAGCUUGUGUAACAUGGUGGGCAACUCUCAUUCAUUAUAAUAUAGAAGUAUCGCAGUUACUUCCCUUUGACUGCUGUGUUAUUAAUUGUAGUUUAAUUUACUUGUAUUUUCAACAAACUAGUCAUAACUGGUUAUAAUGUAAGGUAAUGUAAUAACUACGGGUUGUCAAAUUUCAAUAAUUUAGAUACAAUUUUAAAUGUUUUUAUUAGAGUGGCGUAUUGUAAUAAUAAACUUAAGCUGUUUGGUGAAUUUGAAUUAUGUAUUACUGGUAUGAAAUGUAUAUAUUAUAUACUUGCUUUUUGCUGCUGUAUGGUUGUUAUGCAAAUUCAUUAAGAAUUGAUGUUUAAGUGGGAUAUUGGAGAGAUUUAAUACUUUGUUUUAUUGUAUUAAAUGCGGUAAUACGAAAA
Long non-coding RNA from Dreissena polymorpha, 2514 nucleotides. RefSeq lists it as uncharacterized. The transcript is spliced from 2 exons. Lineage: Eukaryota; Metazoa; Mollusca; Bivalvia; Myida; Dreissenidae. The record is from RefSeq and is a predicted model, not a curated record.